This 337-nucleotide ribosomal RNA is filed under the name uncultured bacterium. RNAcentral describes it as "bacterial SSU rRNA". It matches the Rfam family "Bacterial small subunit ribosomal RNA", at positions 8 to 334 of the family's 1533-position model. The record is from RNAcentral.
AGAGUUCGAUUAUGGCUCAGGAUGAACGCUAGCUACAGGCUUAACACAUGCAAGUCGAGGGGAAACGAUAUUGGAAGCUUGCUUCCGAUAGGCGUCGACCGGCGCACGGGUGAGUAACGCGUAUCCAACCUGCCCACCACUUGGGGAUAACCUUGCGAAAGUAAGACUAAUACCCAAUGAUAUCUCUAGAAGACAUCUGAAAGAGAUUAAAGAUUUAUCGGUGAUGGAUGGGGAUGCGUCUGAUUAGCUUGUUGGCGGGGUAACGGCCCACCAAGGCAACGAUCAGUAGGGGUUCUGAGAGGAAGGUCCCCCACAUUGGAACUGAGACACGGUCCAA